UACAGAGGUCUCAAGCGUUGUUCGGAUUCAUUGGGCGUAAAGGGCGCGUAGGCUGCGGGGCAAGUCGGGUGUGAAAUCUCAGAGCUCAACUCUGAAACUGCAUUCGAUACUGCCGUGCUUGAGGACUGGAGAGGAGACUGGAAUUUACGGUGUAGCGGUGAAAUGCGUAGAUAUCGUAAGGAAGACCAGUGGCGAAGGCGGGUCUCUGGACAGUUCCUGACGCUGAAGCCCGAAGGCCAGGGGAGCAAACGGG
Molecule: ribosomal RNA, 253 nt
Filed under: uncultured bacterium
Lineage: Bacteria
Description: partial 16S ribosomal RNA
Rfam family: Bacterial small subunit ribosomal RNA
Source: RNAcentral